CUUAUAUUCUGUAGCAAGGUUAACCGUAUAGGGGAGCCGAAGGGAAACCGAGUCUUAACUGGGCGUUAAGUUGCAGGGUAUAGACCCGAAACCCGGUGAUCUAGCCAUGGGCAGGUUGAAGGUUGGGUAACACUAACUGGAGGACCGAACCGACUAAUGUUGAAAAAUUAGCGGAUGACUUGUGGCUGGGGGUGAAAGGCCAAUCAAACCGGGAGAUAGCUGGUUCUCCCCGAAAGCUAUUUAGGUAGCGCCUCGUGAACUCAUCUUCGGGGGUAGAGCACUGUUUCGGCUAGGGGGUCAUCCCGACUUACCAACCCGAUGCAAACUGCGAAUACCGAAGAAUGUUAUCACGGGAGACACACGGCGGGUGCUAACGUCCGUCGUGAAGAGGGAAACAACCCAGACCGCCAGCUAAGGUCCCAAAGUCACAGUUAAGUGGGAAACGAUGUGGGAAGGCUCAGACAGCCAGGAUGUUGGCUUAGAAGCAGCCAUCAUUUAAAGAAAGCGUAAUAGCUCACUGGUCGAGUCGGCCUGCGCGGAAGAUGUAACGGGGCUAAACUGUGCACCGAAGCUGCGGCAGCGACGCUUAUGCGUUGUUGGGUAGGGGAGCGUUCUGUAAGCCUGCGAAGGUGUCCUGUGAGGGAUGCUGGAGGUAUCAGAAGUGCGAAUGCUGACAUAAGUAACGAUAA
This 689-nucleotide ribosomal RNA is filed under the name Salmonella enterica. RNAcentral's name for it is "bacterial LSU rRNA". It matches the Rfam family "Bacterial large subunit ribosomal RNA", at positions 627 to 1315 of the family's 2925-position model. Lineage: Bacteria; Pseudomonadati; Pseudomonadota; Gammaproteobacteria; Enterobacterales; Enterobacteriaceae. RNAcentral also lists the same sequence under 3 other names. The record is from RNAcentral.